GACGAACGCUGGCGGCGUGCUUAACACAUGCAAGUCGAGCGGUAAGGCCCUUUCGGGGGUACACGAGCGGCGAACGGGUGAGUAACACGUGGGUGACCUGCCCUCAGCUCUGGGAUAAGCCUGGGAAACCGGGUCUAAUACUGGAUAUGACUCCAUGACGCAUGUUGUGGGGUGGAAAGCCUUGUGCGGCUGAGGAUGGGCCCGCGGCCUAUCAGCUUGUUGGUGGGGUGANGGCCUACCAAGGCGACGACGGGUAGCCGGCCUGAGAGGGCGACCGGCCACACUGGGACUGAGACACGGCCCAGACUCCUACGGGAGGCAGCAGUGGGGAAUCUUGCGCAAUGGGCAAAGCCUGACGCAGCGACGCCGCGUGAGGGAUGACGG
RNAcentral lists this ribosomal RNA (384 nucleotides) under uncultured bacterium. Its description in RNAcentral is "bacterial SSU rRNA". It matches the Rfam family "Bacterial small subunit ribosomal RNA", at positions 28 to 414 of the family's 1533-position model. The record is from RNAcentral.